UUAUUUUUUCACUUGAAUAAA
RNAcentral lists this non-coding RNA (21 nucleotides) under Caenorhabditis elegans. Lineage: Eukaryota; Metazoa; Nematoda; Chromadorea; Rhabditida; Rhabditidae. The record is from RNAcentral.